This is an RNA transcript of Mirounga angustirostris (Northern elephant seal), 1727 nucleotides long. It is a transcript of the gene named RAB34, member RAS oncogene family, with no coding region annotated. Lineage: Eukaryota; Metazoa; Chordata; Mammalia; Carnivora; Phocidae. The record is from RefSeq and is a predicted model, not a curated record. The transcript has 11 exons.
GCCACGACCUACCUAAAGGGCGAAGUUUCAGGUCCACCUAGCCCUUCUUUAGACUCCAUUGAGGGAAGCAGGUUCGUCUUCAGCCUCCCACCCCUCGGCCUACACGGGAGCCUUGAAGGAAGACACCCCAGACUGGACAUCUCUUUCCUCGGUGGGCAUCCCAUUCCGACCCUGGCAUCCCCUGUCGGCUUCCCCCACCCCACCCCAUCCAGGGCAGAAGGGCGAGCGGGGGCAGACUCUAUGAGUCACGUUCUGGGUCUGGAAUUGAGGGAAGCGCCGCCUCUCCUUGGGCCCCUUCUCUCCUCCUUUCCCCUCCCCGCCGGUUCCUGGCCCAGCCAGAUACUGCGCAGCAAUCACCGAUUCUCCAUCACCAAUUUGACUGGCGCUCGCGAAGGGAGAGCGGAGUGGGACGCCGGGCCCUGCAGCGGACUGGGCCCCUGGCCCCCUCCUCCAGCAGGCCGCGGGCCUUGCAGCGCCAUCCCUGCCCACACUGACCCCGUGCGGCGGGGCCGCUCCGCGCCCCCGGGCGGCUCUGUUAUGGUAGGACCGCCUCAACCCCGAGCUGUCGUCGGGUCACCGCGGCCCCGAGUCAUUGUAGGAACUAUCCGGCCCCGAGUUAUUGUGGGGUCUGCGCGGGCCCGGGCCCCCCCGGACGGGACUCCCCGCCCCCAUUUGGAGGCGGAGGAGUCUCCCCGCCCCCGAGUCGUCGUCGGGACGACUCGGGCCCGGGUGAUUGUGGGUUCGCCCCGGCCCCGGAUGAUCGUCUCAUCCCCGUGGCCUGCUGUGGUCGUAGCGUCCCCGAGGCCGCGGGCUCCCGUAGGCUCCCCGUGGCCCAGAGUUAUAGUCGGGACACCCCGGUCGCGGGUGAUUGUCGGGUCUCCACGGGCCCGGGUCGCUGGGGUGGAUCAGGCCCCCGCGCCUUCUCGGGGCUCCCCGCAAGGCCGCAGGCGAGAUGAACAUUCUGGCGCCGGUGCGGAGGGACCGCGUCCUGGCGGAGCUGCCCCAGUGCCUGAGGAAGGAGGCCGCUUUGCACGUGCACAAAGACUUCCACCCCCGCGUCACCUGCGCCUGCCAGGAGCACCGGACAGGCACCGUGGGAUUUAAGAUCUCCAAAGUCAUUGUGGUGGGGGAUCUGUCAGUGGGGAAGACUUGUCUCAUUAAUAGGUUCUGCAAAGAUACUUUUGAUAAGAAUUACAAGGCUACCAUUGGAGUGGACUUUGAGAUGGAACGAUUUGAGGUGUUGGGUGUCCCCUUCAGUCUGCAGCUCUGGGAUACCGCUGGACAGGAGAGGUUCAAGUGCAUUGCAUCAACCUAUUACCGAGGAGCUCAAGCCAUCAUCAUUGUCUUCAACCUGAAUGAUGUGGCCUCCUUGGAACAUACCAAACAAUGGCUCGCUGAUGCACUCAAGGAGAAUGACCCGUCCAGUGUGCUUCUCUUCCUUGUGGGUUCCAAGAAGGACUUGAGUACUCCUGCUCAGUAUGUGCUGAUGGAGAAAGAUGCACUCAAGGUGGCCCAAGAGAUGAAGGCUGAGUACUGGGCGGUCUCUUCUCUCACUGGUGAAAAUGUCCGGGAAUUCUUCUUCCGUGUGGCGGCGCUGACCUUUGAAGCCAACGUGCUGGCUGAGCUGGAGAAAUCGGGGGCCCGGCGCAUUGGGGAUGUUGUCCGCAUCCAUAGUGAGGACAGCAACCUCUACCUAACUGCCAGCAAGAAGAAGCCCACGUGUUGCC